Molecule: ribosomal RNA, 253 nt
Filed under: uncultured bacterium
Lineage: Bacteria
Description: partial 16S ribosomal RNA
Rfam family: Bacterial small subunit ribosomal RNA
Source: RNAcentral
UACGUAGGGGGCAAGCGUUGUCCGGAUUUAUUGGGCGUAAAGAGCGUGUAGGCGGCCAGAUAGGUCCGUUGUGAAAACUCGAGGCUCAACCUCGAGACGCCGAUGGAAACCAUUUGGCUAGAGUCCGGAAGAGGAGAGUGGAAUUCCUGGUGUAGCGGUGAAAUGCGUAGAGAUCAGGAAGAACACCAGUGGCGAAGGCGACUACCUGGCCUGUUCUUGACGCUGAGGCGCGAAAGCUAGGGGAGCAAACGGG